Molecule: ribosomal RNA, 460 nt
Filed under: uncultured bacterium
Lineage: Bacteria
Description: partial 16S ribosomal RNA
Rfam family: Bacterial small subunit ribosomal RNA
Source: RNAcentral
CCUACGGGAGGCAGCAGUGAGGAAUAUUGGUCAAUGGGCGGGAGCCUGCACCAGCCAAGUCGCGUGAGGGAAGACGGUCCUAUGGAUUGUAAACCUCUUUAGGCGGGGAGCAAUGCCGGGCACGCGUGCCCGGAGGGAGAGUACCCGCAGAAUAAGCAUCGGCCAACUCCGUGCCAGCAGACGCGGUAAUAGGUAGGAUGCGAGCGUUAUCCGGAGUUAUUGGGGUUAAGGGGUGCGUAGGCGGAGUGUUAAGUCAUCGGUAACAUGUCCGGGUUCAACCCGCGUCGGCCGUUGAAACUGGGGGUCUUGAGUGGGGUAGAGGUAUGCGGAAUGCGAGGUGUAGCGGUGAAAUGCAUAGAUAUCACGAAGAAUUCCGGUUGCGAAGGCAGCCUCCCGGCGACCGACUGACGCUGAGGCACGAAAGCGUGGGGAUCGAACAGGAUUAGAUACCCGGGUAGUC